GGCCUUGCCCACUGCAUCAGACCGAAGUCCGAGCUAACUGGGGCCUUGCCCCCUGCAUCGGACCGAAGUCCGGACUAACUCGGACCUUGUCCCCUACAUCGGACGGAAGUCCGGGCUAACUGCGGCCUUGCCCCCUGCAUCGGACCGAAGUCCGGACUAACUGGGGCCUUGCCCCCUGCGUCGGACCGAAGUCCGGACUAACUGGGACCUUGUCCCUUGCAUCGGACUGAAGUCCGGGCUAACUGGGGCCUUGCCCCGUGCAUCGGACCGAAGUCCGGACUAACUGGGACCUUGUCCCCUGCAUCGGACCGAAGUCCGAGCUAACUGAACAGAACAUAGCAUAAACAUAUCAACUAGCAUGAACACACAUAUACUGCAUACUACAUCGGGCCGUGGCCCGAAACACAUAACACAUAAUUCCUGUCUGAGCCACGAAGGCAUCAAACAUACUAAAUACUGCAUCAGAUCAAAAUCCGGAAACUGCUACUAGGUAAACGGGUCGGCAUUGUGGCCUUAGACCCGUUCCUACUGGAAGGAAACUCACCUGAGACUGUUGAACUGAUGUUGCUAAUCCUUUUGACUGCUACCUGAUCUCUGACUCCGAAUUGCUGCUCCACUAGCUCCUCGAGCUACCAAUGUCAAUAUAACACUUAGUCCAACUGACCUCCAAAGGUCAACUAGGUCAACUCUAGUCAAGGUCAAAAUCCUGGUCAAAGUCAACCUUCCAGGUCAACCCUACUCGCCGAGUCCACCUAAUAACUCGCCGAGUUCAUAUGCUCAGGAUCUUUCUAUUCGCGACUCGACUCGCCGAGUCAGUCCAUGACUCGCCGAGUCAACUAUUCCCGAGUCCUGACCUGUCCAACUCGCU
This 868-nucleotide long non-coding RNA is filed under the name Lactuca sativa (garden lettuce). RNAcentral describes it as "long non-coding RNA (LSAT_LNC000448)". Lineage: Eukaryota; Viridiplantae; Streptophyta; Magnoliopsida; Asterales; Asteraceae. The record is from RNAcentral.